ACACUGGGGUCAGGAGUGGAGAUACUUAGGCUCCCCAGAGAAAUUAGUCACAAGUCUUAUCCCUUCAUCUCCAUUUACAGCCAUUUAUUUGGGAGCAACAUACUUUAAAUGAGUGAUAAACAAAAUGUCUCCCCACAGCCCCCACCCCAGCAUGUGUUCUGAAGUUCACAGGAAGGCUUCUCCUCAUUUGCUUUGGGGCCCGCAGGCUGCCUGCUAACAGCUGGGUCUUCCCAUGAACAAAUUAGACAGUUAAUGUUCCAGGAUGAAGAGGGCUUCGGGGAACAGAAUCUGCCGUUUAUUUGACUUGCUUCAUUAGACACAGUGCCAUCAUACCAAAAUUAGAAAAAAGAAGGAACUCAGCGGAAAUCAGCUACACAAGAAGAACCUCUCAGUUCUGAGAAUUCACAUUAACCAGUGAUUAAGAAAUAUUAAAAAGGGCUGAUAGUCCACUACGUUAUCAAGUUCAAAGCCUAAGAAAUAUUGAACAUUUCCACACAUGAAUGUGGGUACUAUGUUUAAUUUGAGAAUGGCCAACUGUCCUCGAAGUCUCAAUCUCUUUGGAGCCUACCAGCUCCGAGAGAAGUUUGAGGAUGCUGCAAAACCCUCCCCUGCAAAUCCAUCUACUCCUCCCACUUCUAUCCUAAUGGGUAUAGUUCUUGGCUGUGCUGAGGAUCUGUAAGGCACCAGAUGUGAAAGUAAGGAAGAAAGAUGGAUGUGGAAGAAAGUCACUGCCCAGAGAAUAAGGAGACCUGGAUUCUAAUCUCAGCUCUGCCAUUAACUAGCUGUGAGACUCAAGAAUAACUAAUCAUUUUGAUAACUCGUUUUUUUACUUUUUAAAAUGAGGAGCCAAGUUUAGACAAUGAGCUCGGCUCUUCACCAGUGAUAAAGUGUCUGGGACAUGCUUCCAUUCAAGCAAUGCUCUUCCUUCUUGGUAAGACAGUGAGAUCCCCAUGAUGGAGCCAGUGUAGUAUUGCCCAGUAGGCAGGGAGAUGAAGAGCCCUGGAAUCCCCUUUAAUCAAUGGCCCUUAGCUCAGAGACCAUUUCUGCACCAGGCUGGAGGGAAGAAGCCCUUCUCUCAGGUUCUUGCCGAGGCCUGCUAUUUAAAACAGAUGGCACACACGGGCAGUCCAUUCCCACACCCCUUCCACUCUCUAAGCACUUUGAAUAUAUUAAAACCUUUUCUUACCUCUCAGUUCCAA
RNAcentral lists this long non-coding RNA (1199 nucleotides) under Homo sapiens (human). Its description in RNAcentral is "novel transcript". The record is from RNAcentral. Lineage: Eukaryota; Metazoa; Chordata; Mammalia; Primates; Hominidae.